RNAcentral lists this ribosomal RNA (491 nucleotides) under uncultured bacterium. RNAcentral's name for it is "partial 16S ribosomal RNA". It matches the Rfam family "Bacterial small subunit ribosomal RNA", at positions 28 to 507 of the family's 1533-position model. The record is from RNAcentral.
GAUGAACGCUAGCUACAGGCUUAACACAUGCAAGUCGAGGGGAAACGACAUUGAAGCUUGCUUCGAUGGUCGUCGACCGGCGCACGGGUGAGUAACGCGUAUCCAACCUGCCUCUGACCAAGGGAUAACCCGUCGAAAGUCGGCCUAAUACCUUAUGCAGUCGUCGGAAGUCAUCUGAUGACGACGAAAGAUUUCAUCGGUGAGAGAUGGGGAUGCGUCUGAUUAGCUUGUUGGCGGGGUAACGGCCCACCAAGGCAACGAUCAGUAGGGGUUCUGAGAGGAAGGUCCCCCACAUUGGAACUGGGACACGGUCCAAACACCUACGGGAGGCAGCAGUAAGGAAUAAUGGUCAAUGGGCGAGAGCCUGAACCAGCCAAGUAGCGUGCAGGAUGACGGCCCUAUGGGUUGUAAACUGCUUUUAUGCGGGGAUAAAGUGAGGGACGUGUCCUUCAUUGCAGGUACCGCAUGAAUAAGGACCGGCUAAUUCCGUG